Onychostoma macrolepis is the source of this 698-nucleotide long non-coding RNA. RefSeq lists it as uncharacterized. The transcript has 4 exons. The record is from RefSeq and is a predicted model, not a curated record. NCBI's taxonomy places the organism in Eukaryota, Metazoa, Chordata, Actinopteri, Cypriniformes, Cyprinidae.
UUAACGUUUCUGAUGUAUUUUAGUAUCUUAUUAUUUUAACCAGCUAAGCAACGCUAAUGCAAAGAGGAACUAACACGCCAUUACAUCAAAGUUAUCAACGGCAAGUGUUAAAUAUGCAGUGUUUUACACCACAGUUUGUCAGUGGGAAAAUAAAACCCAUUUUGUUUUGUGAUUUCGGACACCGACAAACAAGUCCGGUGAUUUGUCUUUUAAACCAGGAAGACGGCUGACAUAUCUAACCGACACUCGCACCACAGAAACUAAAGCAACAGAGCAAAGGCAGUGUGGAGUGCUGGGAUGUCAAAGUCAGCAAGAUGGCUGCAAUACCACGGGCCUAAAGUUAAAAAAAGGAGCCUGACCAGGUGCAGAAGGCAGCAGUCCCUAUCAUUGCUGUUGAGGAGGAAGAGAAUGUCAUGAGGGAACCCACUGGAUGUUUUGAUUGUCUUUGAAGACGAAGUGGUGAUGUCAACCAAGUCUAGGAUGCUGUUCUUGCGGAGUUUCCACACACAAGUACAUCUGAUGUGUGAGCGGCCAUCAGGCGCAAAUGUAACACCGCAAUUCUUUAUAGAAUUGCAAUAUUUUUUGGACAUGUAUAAUUUUAAAUUGUUUUGUGGUGUUUUUGUUUUGUUUUAUUGCAUUUAUUUUACAUGUUCGAAAUAAAGUCUCAAAAAAAAUCUAAUUCAGCAAAAAAGUGAAGU